Molecule: ribosomal RNA, 382 nt
Filed under: uncultured eukaryote
Lineage: Eukaryota
Description: partial 18S ribosomal RNA
Rfam family: Eukaryotic small subunit ribosomal RNA
Source: RNAcentral
UGUAAGCGUAUACCAAAGUUGUUGCAGUUAAAACGCUCGUAGUCGGAAUUUGGCAGUUCCGGAUGUGUGCACGUCGUGUGCGCACUUCGCGGGGAUUGCUUUUGUGGUCUUGCGUAGGAUGAGGCACUUUUAUUAGUGAACGUCCUCACGCAACCACUUUUUACUGUGAGAAAAUCAGAGUGCUCAAAGCAGGCAUUUGCCGUGAAUGUAUUAGCAUGGAAUAAUAGAAUAGGACUUGGUUCUAUUUUGUUGGUUUGUUGGGACUGAGUAAUGAUUAAGAGGGACAGUUGAGGGCAUUUGUAUUUCGGUGCUAGAGGUGAAAUUCUUAGAUUACCGAAAGACAAACUGCUGCGAAAGCGUCUGCCAAGGAUGUUUUCAUUGA